Molecule: small nuclear RNA, 107 nt
Organism: Cercocebus atys (sooty mangabey)
Lineage: Eukaryota; Metazoa; Chordata; Mammalia; Primates; Cercopithecidae
Source: Ensembl
AUACUCGCUUCGGCAGCAUAUAUACUAAAACUGGAAUGAUACAGAGAAGAUUGGCAUGGUCCCUGCAUGAGAAUGACACACAAAUUUGUGAAGCAUUCCAUAUUUUU